GGUCAAGCAUUAAGAGCGCAGGGUGGAUGCUUGGCACUGAGAGCCGAUGAAGGACGUGAUAAGCUGCGAAAAGCUUCGGGGAGGAGCAAAUAUCCAUUGAUCCGGAGAUAUCCGAAUGGGGAAACCCACUUGAGCAAACCUCAAGUAUCCAUACGCCAAUCCAUAACGUAUGGAAGGGAACCGGGGGAACUGAAACAUCUAAGUACCCCGAGGAGAAGAAAGAAACCUCGAUUUCCAAAGUAGCGGCGAGCGAAAUGGAAAGAGCCCAAACCGUGGUGCGUGCACCGCGGGGUUGUGGACUGCAUAAGGUACUCGAAUCAAUAGCCGAACAGUUUUGGGAAAUCUGAUCAGAGAGGGUGAAAAUCCCGUAGGCGAAAUUGAUGAGAGGCUGGCAGGAUCCAGAGUACCACGAGACACGGGAAACCUUGUGGGAAGCAGGAGGGACCACCCUCCAAGGCUAAAUACUCCUCAGUGACCGAUAGCGCAUAGUACUGUGAAGGAAAGGUGAAAAGGACCCCGGGAGGGGAGUGAAAGAGAACCUGAAACCCUGUGUUUACAAGCUGUGGAAGUGCCUUAUGUGCACAACCGCGUACUUUUUGUAGAACGGUCCGGCGAGUUACGUUUACUGGCAAGGUUAAG
RNAcentral lists this ribosomal RNA (639 nucleotides) under Blautia sp. AF34-10. RNAcentral's name for it is "partial 23S ribosomal RNA". It matches the Rfam family "Bacterial large subunit ribosomal RNA", at positions 1 to 650 of the family's 2925-position model. The record is from RNAcentral. RNAcentral also lists the same sequence under 1 other name. Lineage: Bacteria; Bacillati; Bacillota; Clostridia; Lachnospirales; Lachnospiraceae.